RNAcentral lists this long non-coding RNA (725 nucleotides) under Rattus norvegicus (Norway rat). Its description in RNAcentral is "long non-coding RNA NONRATT027922". Lineage: Eukaryota; Metazoa; Chordata; Mammalia; Rodentia; Muridae. The record is from RNAcentral.
CCAUUCUUGCUUGUAUUUCUGUUUGUGUACGAGUAAAACAAUUACUGUAUGUGUGUGUGUGUGUGUGUGUGUGUGUGUGUGUGUGUGUGUGUGUAUACAGGGUGGUGCAUGCUGUAGCAAACAUGUGUAGGUCAGAGGAGGAACUGCAGGAGUUUAUUCUCCCUUCCCCCAUAUGGGCCCUGAGGAUUGAACUCAGGUCAUCAGGCUUGGUGGCAAGUGCUUUUGCCUUUAAAGCCAUCUUUGUGGCUGUAUGUAUAAGAAAAUGUUUUCACUAUACUUCACUCAUUGUGUGUAUGUGUGUGGGGAUGGGGGGUGUCAGGGAGCACAUUUAAAAAAAAGAUUUAUUUGAAUAUUUUUAAUUGUGUAUACCUGAGUGUGAGUAGAGUCCAGGUGCCUGCAGAGGCCAGGAGAGGUCAUUGGAUACCCUGAUCCUGAAGUUUCAGGUUUGGGUUACUGACUUGGGUUCUGGGACCGGGACUUGUGUCCUCUGUAAGAGCGCACUGAGCGUCCCUCCAGCUUCGGCACACAUUUAAAAGUCAGUUGUCACAGAGCAUUAUUAAACUUCAGUGUCACAAGCAAAACGUACUUUUAACAAGCUAUUUACAACACUGUGGUUGAGUUAGUAUCUUGUUAGAAUACUGUCCUUGGAAAAGGCAGUGGGGAUUUUAUCUUUCAAAUAUUUAAAACCUAAAAGGAAACAGAAUACAAAUUAACAUGGCAUAAAA